RNAcentral lists this ribosomal RNA (252 nucleotides) under uncultured bacterium. Its description in RNAcentral is "partial 16S ribosomal RNA". It matches the Rfam family "Bacterial small subunit ribosomal RNA", at positions 524 to 776 of the family's 1533-position model. The record is from RNAcentral.
UACGAAGGGGGCUAGCGUUGCUCGGAAUCACUGGGCGUAAAGGGUGCGUAGGCGGGUCUUUAAGUCAGGGGUGAAAUCCUGGAGCUCAACUCCAGAACUGCCUUGAUACUGAAGAUCUUGAGUUCGGGAGAGGUGAGUGGAACUGCGAGUGUAGAGGUGAAAUUCGUAGAUAUUCGCAAGAACACCAGUGGCGAAGGCGGCUCACUGGCCCGAUACUGACGCUGAGGCACGAAAGCGUGGGGAGCAAACAGG